Molecule: ribosomal RNA, 1825 nt
Filed under: Trichinella murrelli
Lineage: Eukaryota; Metazoa; Nematoda; Enoplea; Trichinellida; Trichinellidae
Description: SSU rRNA
Rfam family: Eukaryotic small subunit ribosomal RNA
Source: RNAcentral
AACCUGGUUGAUCCUGCCAGUAGUCAUAUGCUUGUCUCAAAGAUUAAGCCAUGCAUGUGUAAGCACACACUGUUUUAAAAGUGAAGCCGCGAAUGGCUCAUUACAACAGCCACAGUUUAUUAGAACUUACAAUCAUGGAUAACUGUGGUAAUUCUAGAGCUAAUACACGCACAAAAACUUCAACUGAAUUGGUUGAAGUGCUUUUAUUAGAACAAAAACCGAACGGCGUUUGGCGAAUGUUGAACGUCGAAACUGUUUGGUGAAUCUGAAUAACUAUUUCUGAUCGCAUGGUCUAGCACCGGCGACAUCACUUUCAAGUGUCUGCCUUAUCAACCUUCGAUGGUAGUCUAUGCGACUACCAUGGUGAUAACGGGUAACGGAGAAUCAGGGUUCGACUCCGGAGAGGGAGCCUGAGAAACGGCUACCACAUCCAAGGAAGGCAGCAGGCGCGCAAAUUACCCACUCCCAGCUUGGGGAGGUAGUGACGAAAAAUAACGAGACGAUUCUCGUUUGAGAAACGUUAUCGAAAUGAGUACGCUUUACACACGCUAACGAGUAGCAAUUGGAGGGCAAGUCUGGUGCCAGCAGCCGCGGUAAUUCCAGCUCCAAUAGCGUAUAUUAAAGUUGCUGCGGUUAAAACGCUCGUAGUUGAAUUGUGGUCUUAGACAACAGUCCCCCUACAUAGGUGUGGCACGGUUGCUCGAGAUCUUCAUUCGUGGUUGCUGUUGUUGCUCUUCAUUGAGUGUCAAUGGUGCCUCGAGAUUUUACUUUGAAAAAAUUAGAGUGCUCAAAGCAGGUUGUGAUGCCUGAAUAAUGGUGCAUGGAAUAAUAGAAUACGAUCUCGGUUCUAUUUUGUUGGUUUUCGAACCGGAAAUAAUGAUUGAAAGGAACAGACGGGGGCAUUCGUAUUGCUGCGUUAGAGGUGAAAUUCUUGGAUCGCAGCAAGAUGAACAAUUGCGAAAGCAUUUGCCAAGAAUGUUUUCAUUAAUCAAGAACGAAAGUUAGAGGUUCGAAGGCGAUCAGAUACCGCCCUAGUUCUAACGGUAAACUAUGCCAACCAGCGAUUCGCCGAAGUUCAUUUAAGACUCGGCGAGCAGCUUCCGGGAAACCAAAGUGUUUCGGUUCCGGGGGAAGUAUGGUUGCAAAGCUGAAACUUAAAGGAAUUGACGGAAGGGCACCACCAGGAGUGGAGCCUGCGGCUUAAUUUGACUCAACACGGGAAAACUCACCCGGCCCGGACACUGGAAGGAUUGACAGAUUGACAGCUCUUUCUUGAUUCAGUGGGUGGUGGUGCAUGGCCGUUCUUAGUUGGUGGAGCGAUUUGUCUGGUUAAUUCCGAUAACGAACGAGACUCUACCCUAUUAAAUAGUGACAGUAUUGUAUUUAUUGUGCUGAUCACUUCUUAGAGGGACUGGCAAAUUGAAAGCUGCACGAAAAAGAGCAAUAACAGGUCUGUGAUGCCCUUCGAUGUCCGGGGCCGCACGCGCGCUACAAUGAAAGCGUCAACGUGAGUUACGUCCUUACCUGAAAAGGUUUGGCAAUCGAAUGAAACGUUUUCUUGAAUGGAAUAGGGAAUUGCAAUUGUUUCCCUUGAACGAGGAAUUCCCAGUAAGCGUGAGUCAUUAGCUCGCGUUGAUUACGUCCCUGCCCUUUGUACACACCGCCCGUCGCUACUACCGAUUGGAUGAUUUAGUGAGGUGUUUUGACUGGCGCCAGUAGUCGGAUGUAUUCGGCUUCGCGCCGGGAAAUUUCCCAAACCAAAUCAUCUAGAGGAAGUAAAAGUCGUAACAAGGUUUCCGUAGGUGAACCUGCGGAAGGAUCAUUA